RNAcentral lists this unclassified non-coding RNA (241 nucleotides) under fungal sp. RNAcentral describes it as "partial internal transcribed spacer region". The stretch from base 1 to 46 matches the Rfam family "Eukaryotic small subunit ribosomal RNA", at positions 1786 to 1831 of the family's 1831-position model. Lineage: Eukaryota; Fungi. The record is from RNAcentral.
AAGUCGUAACAAGGUUUCCGUAGGUGAACCUGCGGAAGGAUCAUUACUUUCAGUACUUUGGGGGCUGUCAGUCUAUAUCACUAUAGCGAGCCUCUGUCUGAAACCCUUGUCUUUUGCGUACCUUAUGUUUCCUCGGCGGGCUUGCCCGCCGGUUGGACAACCUUAAAACCUUUUUAAUUUUCAAUCAGCGUCUGAAAAAACAUAAUAAUUACAACUUUCAACAACGGAUCUCUUGGUUCUG